Molecule: ribosomal RNA, 361 nt
Filed under: uncultured bacterium
Lineage: Bacteria
Description: bacterial SSU rRNA
Rfam family: Bacterial small subunit ribosomal RNA
Source: RNAcentral
AGAGUUUGAUCAUGGCUCAGGAUGAACGCUAGCUACAGGCUUAACACAUGCAAGUCGAGGGGCAGCAUGGUCUUAGCUUGCUAAGGCCGAUGGCGACCGGCGCACGGGUGAGUAACACGUAUCCAACCUGCCGUCUACUCUUGGACAGCCUUCUGAAAGGAAGAUUAAUACAAGAUGGCAUCAUGAGUUCACAUGUUCACAUGAUUAAAGGUAUUCCGGUAGACGAUGGGGAUGCCGUUCCAUUAGAUAGUAGGCGGGGUAACCGGCCCACCUAGUCUUCGAUGGGAUAGGGGUUCUGAGAGGGAAGGUCCCCCACAUUGGAACUGAGACACCGGUCCAAACUCCUACGGGGCGCAGCAGA